Long non-coding RNA from Zootermopsis nevadensis, 1768 nucleotides. RefSeq lists it as uncharacterized. NCBI's taxonomy places the organism in Eukaryota, Metazoa, Arthropoda, Insecta, Blattodea, Termopsidae. The record is from RefSeq and is a predicted model, not a curated record.
AAAAUUAAUAACAUUUAUGAAACAGGAGAUUUUAAAUCAGAUUUGAAGACUAGUAUGUUGCAUAUUGUAAGAAGAAAGGGGCGGAUGAUACCCUGCUAAUUGUAGAGGAAUUUAAUUUCUUUCAACAUUAUCGAAGAUAUUUACGUUGGUACUAGCAAGGAGACUGAAUGAUUCGAUGAAGAAGGGUGUCAUUUCAGAAUGAAAGGUGAAAAGAGAAUUGUCAAUUAUAUAUUUUUAUUAACAACUAUCGUUGAAGAGGUAAAUUAUAUUGGAUAUUUUUUAGAUAUGCGAGUAUUUUUUAAUGUAGAAAUGAUUUGGUUGUACAUUACUUUUAGAUUGGACGCUGUUUUCGUAUUGGAAUACGAGAAUCCGAAUUCCUUUGAAUUGAUUUUAAUCGACGAAGGAGAACGGGAAAAAGAUUUAUAAGAGACAUACACAAGGUAAUCAGAACACAUCAAAAGAUAUCUAGGUAAUUCAUUAAAAUUUAUUACAGAAUAUGGGGUUAAUCUAAAAGUAGAUCAGCUGUGUUAACGAGUCUAUCGAUAGUCGACUAGCCGAACACGUCUCGAAGAUCGAUAGCGACUAAGAAACGUAACAUGAACACGAUCCAACAGUAUCAUUCGGCCGGGACCUGCGAACACUUGAUAAUGAAACUAACGUUGACUUUAAAAGUAUGCGUGAAGAGAGAAGACUACAUUUCAAAUUAAAGUAAGCGACAGACACCAAAUGGAGAGCAGAAAUUGGGGAAUUCAUCAACACAGGUAUUUCUAGCCUUUUAGGAGUGCAUCAAAGAAACUUUGUGCAGGAAAGAGAAAGGUAAAAGCUCGCACUGUGAGAGCAGCUGGGAUAAAAGAUGUUUCUCACCCGCCGCGUAGUGAGGAACUCAUGAACUAGCACUAGAACAGUAGAACGUAGCGAGUUGGGCUCGCCGAUCGCCGCGAAGCAGCAGUCUGUGUGAGAGCGUUGGGCAGCGUACAUGUUGCUCGUAGCAGCUACCGCCUUCCAGUCAUUGAUUCAGCCUGUUCGGAUGUGGAAUUGUUUAUAGAAGAACAAAUAUGGGAUACAUCUUGUAAGGAGUUUCAAGUGUGUGAAAAGUUUUGUGAGGGUUUUACUGAUAAACCAGAUCUGAAGAAAAAAUGAAACAGGUUAAAGACAGUGGAUCCAGGUCCCACGCAAAUUAGUGUCGAUGAUGAAGUCGUGGCUGGUAAUGAAUCUCUGCAAGAGAUUGAUACUACAUCAGAAACAUCAACAGCCUCUCCCAGACCGUACGGAGUGAGCCUGACACAAAUUUGGACAAUACGGCGCAGGAUAAUUGGAAAUAACUUAGUAAAGUUUAUGAAUACUCCUAUGCCAAAAGGUACCAGACGAUGAUAAAUCAUUUUUUGAAUCAUUGCCGUUGGACACCGAAUUGGAGUUUAGAUGAGAAGUUAUUAGGUUACUGAAAAGGUUCAGGACCAUGAAUGAACAUCCCCAAUACAUCGCCCCCAUGAAGUUCUCAGCCAAUUGCAACCCCUCGAUCGUUUUCAAGAGUUCAAUAAUCAAUUACAGAUUCACCUAACCUAACCUCAUUUAUCUGUCAACGCUAUGACCACUCCUUCUCCAUACACGGUAACAGAUGGUGAAGAUUCUAUGGACCUUCAACAAUAGAAUGGAGCAGUUUAUAAGGGUUUCCAAAUGGACUAUAAUUGGUAACUUACAAUAAGUAAUUGAUUUUUGUACUUAAACUUGAAAUAAAGAUUUCGUUUUGAGAAACUGUGCCCUACAAGUA